RNAcentral lists this non-coding RNA (28 nucleotides) under Rattus norvegicus (Norway rat). Lineage: Eukaryota; Metazoa; Chordata; Mammalia; Rodentia; Muridae. The record is from RNAcentral.
UCUGUGUCCGUUAUGGUUCAGUCAGUGU